UGCAACAUUCGGUUUGUAGCCUGAGGGUCGGCACAGAUUUCACUUCUUUUCCAGCUCUCACCCUUCCUAUCACAGUGACAGCUUUGACUGUGCACUAAGAGGGAGCAAAAAGAACUGCUAAUACAGAGCUAUUAACACUAAUAAUACGUAAAGGGAUUAAGAGAGUUGAUGAUGCAUGCCGAAAUAAUGCAGUGAAUGAUUAGAAUAAUAAUUCCUUGAGAUACAGAGAAUAGGCAGAAUUGAAGCUGGAAGAACAGAUCCCCCAGAGCUAUACCCUGUGUUCUCCUGGAGAAGGAAAAUUUAAGGU
This 307-nucleotide long non-coding RNA is filed under the name Cyanistes caeruleus (blue tit). RNAcentral's name for it is "lncRNA (ENSCCEG00000006178.1)". Lineage: Eukaryota; Metazoa; Chordata; Aves; Passeriformes; Paridae. The record is from RNAcentral.